GUGCUUGCUUUGGCAGCACAUACAUUAAAUCAGAACGAUAUAGAGAAGAUUAGCAUGGCCCCUGCACAAGGAUGACAUGCAAAUUCGUGAAGCGUUCCAUAUUUUU
RNAcentral lists this small nuclear RNA (106 nucleotides) under Aotus nancymaae (Ma's night monkey). The record is from RNAcentral. Lineage: Eukaryota; Metazoa; Chordata; Mammalia; Primates; Aotidae.